AUAUAAACUAGUUGGGGCAUUUAUAGAAAAUCAUAAAUGAAAAUAAAACAAAAAUCCUAAAUCAUGCCUACUAAAAACUUAUUCAAAUUCCUAUAAACAUAGCAUGUAGUUGUAAGAAGCAUGUUUCGUGAUAUAUUUAUGCUGCAAUUUUUGCAUGUUUUAAAUUAAACAUGCAUCAUUUUUACAGAUUUCAGUCCGCCAUAUGUUUUAGAUUGUUACACUGCACAAUAUUGUUUCCACUUAAUUAGGCAGCCUUACUUUGUUCCUAUUCAUAGGGAACCCCCAUUUUAUCACUAUUAUAAAUAUCCACUAACCUUACAACAUCAUCCUUCUUUAGUAAUUAAUCGUACCAAUUUAUAUAAGAUAUUUGCUCAAGAUAUCCCUCGUCAUAUUGCACAUUUGCCCAAGAUAUCCACCAAGAAAAUGCACACGGUGUAGGUUUGCCAGCGACACAUCGUCAUCCAUCCAUUACAAUGCCUGAUGUCUCCUUGCAACAACCAGGACGAGCAGAAAAGAAUGCAUUCACUAAAAUGACAAAUUUUAUAACAUAUUUAGCUUCAAAAUCCCUAUGCUUUAUGCACUCAUCUCUCUACUAAAUUAUUUAAACUAAAUUUCACAAAACAUUAAUUUAAGGUAUAAUUCAAUAUUUUAUCCCAGAACAAACAUCAAACGCAAAGCAACUUGCAACGGCAAGAUAUAGAGCUGCAACAUGCCCUAAACUUGAAUAUAAUUUACUCUCUGGGAUGCCAAUUUCUGUCUUAGCAUAAAAAUACAGACUUCUGAUUGGUGUGGG
Molecule: non-coding RNA, 793 nt
Organism: Paramuricea clavata
Lineage: Eukaryota; Metazoa; Cnidaria; Anthozoa; Malacalcyonacea; Plexauridae
Source: the annotation of a GenBank genome assembly